This 1497-nucleotide long non-coding RNA is filed under the name Sarcophilus harrisii (Tasmanian devil). RNAcentral describes it as "lncRNA (ENSSHAG00000020596.1)". Lineage: Eukaryota; Metazoa; Chordata; Mammalia; Dasyuromorphia; Dasyuridae. The record is from RNAcentral.
GGCUACCUGGAAGGUGCCGGGGCCGCGCCCCGGGGAUCCAGGGGGCGCCCUCGGUCUGUGGCUCGGGUCCCCCACGCCGGGCACGGGGAGGGGCGGGGCAGGGAACUGGGGCUGGAGCCACUGCGGGUUCUUGAAGGAGAAGGGGCGGGGGAGGCGGGCCGGCCCCGCCCCGGGCGGCGGGCACGGACAGCUCCCGCCUCCCUGGCUCGCUCGGUGCCUCCCCUCGGGAGUGGGAGCCCAGUCUCCAGGGCAGCGGCGGCGGCGGCGGCAGCGCCGGCCCCCUUCCUUCCUCCCUCCCGGCCGUCCCGUCCCCUCCGGGCCGCCGCCGUCCAGCGUCCCGCGCUCCCGGGCCGGCCCCAUGGCGUCCUCGGCCGGUUCCCCCCCGCAGGCGGAGCGGCGGCGCUGGGGGUGGGGCCGUCGGGCCAGCGGGUCCCUGGGGCUCAGCCUCAGCCCCAAGGCCGCCUUCCCGUCGGAGCUGGCCGAGGUGAGCCCGGCGGCCGGAGCGUUCUACGCGCCCAUCCCCGCGCCGGGGCCCGGCCCUCCCCCUGCCGCCGCGCCGGGGGCCCGGGGGCCCCCGGCCCCGCUGUCGCCGUCGCCCUCGCCGCCCCCCACUGUGAGCCUGGACCCGCGCAUGUCCAUCUACAGCAUGUGGCGCCCGCUGCUCACCCGCACCCACGUCCAGGGGCGCGUCUACAACUUCCUCGAGAGACCCACGGGCUGGAAGUGCUUCCUCUACCACUUCACGGUCUUCCUCAUUGUUCUGAUCUGCCUCAUCUUCAGCGUGCUCUCCACCAUCGAGCAGUACGUGGCCCUGGCCACCGGGACCCUCUUCUGGAUGGUACGUACCUGCGAGAGGGGCUCCCCCCUCCCUCCUGGGCCGGUGCCCCUGCCCACAUCCGCAGCCCCUGCCCUUCACACGCACUCCCAGCAACCUCUGGGGCAGCGCUUCCCUCCUGCCCACCCCCCCCCCCCGUGACUCCCGGGACUGGCCCCGUGGUGGUCAGCGGGGGGUCUCGGCCGGGUCUGUGCCAGGAGGACAGCUGCGGGGGAGCAGAGGUCAGGAGGCUGCCAGGCUUGGGCACAAACCGGGGGCCCCUCCUUAAAGCUGAGGCUCUCGGAGCUCUCGGAGAGAAGGUUCUGGGCCCCCCUGCCCCGCUGGCCAGCGCCCCUCCCCCUCUCCUGCCUAUGCCAGGGGCAAGUCCCAGCAUCACCUCUGCCCAAGCCCGUGGGCCCGGGCCAGGAAGUCAGGUCUGGGGGGGGCUGAGCCCUCCUGCGGAGGCCGCCCCCUCUGGGCCAUUUCCCUGGUUUAUGUGUUUUUGGAACUGAGUCUAGGGGGGCUUUGUGGGGAAAGCUGGAGCUUCCAAGGUGGGGCUCUGGGGGGCUGUGGGUGCUGGGACCUCCGAGGUGGGACAUGGGAGUGUGGGGGCUGUGGGUGCCGGGAUCCCCCUGAGGCAGGCUGAGAGUGCUGGGACCUCCUGAAGUGGGAUGUGAGGCCGU